GUCCCAAGUGUCACUCGAACCGGC
RNAcentral lists this non-coding RNA (24 nucleotides) under Arabidopsis thaliana (thale cress). The record is from RNAcentral. Lineage: Eukaryota; Viridiplantae; Streptophyta; Magnoliopsida; Brassicales; Brassicaceae.